This 474-nucleotide ribosomal RNA is filed under the name uncultured bacterium. Its description in RNAcentral is "bacterial SSU rRNA". It matches the Rfam family "Bacterial small subunit ribosomal RNA", at positions 26 to 518 of the family's 1533-position model. The record is from RNAcentral.
AGGACGAACGCUGGCGGCGUGCUUCAUACAUGCAAGUCGAACGAGAAGCUGACUUCGGUCAGUGGAAAGUGGCGGACGGGUGAGUAAGAUGUAAGAGAAUCUGCCCUAGAGAGAGGGACAACAGUUGGAAACGACUGCUAAUACCACAUAUGCGCGUAGCUGAGAUGCUAUUCGUGAAAACUCCGGUGCUCUAGGAUGAGUCUGCAUCUGAUUAGCUAGUUGGGGGGUGUAAUGGACCACCAAGGCGACGAUCAGUAGCUGGUUUGAGAGGAUGAUCAGCCACAAUGGGACUGAGACACGGCCCAUACUCCUACGGGGAGGCAGCAGUAGGGAAUUUUGCGCAAUGGGGGAAACCCUGACGCAAGCAACGCCGCGUGAACGAUGAAGUAUUUCGGUAUGUAAAGUUCUAUCAGCAGGGAAGAUAAUGACGGUACCUGACUAAGAAGCACCGGCUAAAUACGUGCCAGCCGCCGC